GGACGGGGUUUUGCUUUGUAGGAGGUUGGCGACCUUUCUGUGGUGGUGCGGAGGCUUCACAUGGCCGGAGAUGGGAGAUCGGAGGAGAGAGAGAGAGUCGCCGGCGAGAGGAGAGAGAGGCUCUGGGUUAUACUACGGUGUGAACGCUAGCACGGUGCACCGGUGCAGCUGAAGCCUGUGAGCCGUUGGAUCUCUAAUGAAAAG
RNAcentral lists this long non-coding RNA (204 nucleotides) under Populus trichocarpa (black cottonwood). RNAcentral describes it as "long non-coding RNA (PTRI_LNC001167)". The record is from RNAcentral. Lineage: Eukaryota; Viridiplantae; Streptophyta; Magnoliopsida; Malpighiales; Salicaceae.